RNAcentral lists this ribosomal RNA (406 nucleotides) under uncultured bacterium. RNAcentral's name for it is "partial 16S ribosomal RNA". It matches the Rfam family "Bacterial small subunit ribosomal RNA", at positions 30 to 526 of the family's 1533-position model. The record is from RNAcentral.
AUUGAACGCUGGCGGCAGGCCUAACACAUGCAAGUCGAACGAGUGGCGGACGGGUGAGUAAUGUCUGGGAAACUGCCUGAUGGUGGGGGAUAACUACUGGAAACGGUAGCUAAUACCGCAUACCCUCAGAUGUACCCAGAUGGGAGUGGCUUGUUGGUGGGGUAACGGCUAACAAAGGCGACGGUCCCUAGCUGGUCUGAGAGGCGGACCAGCAAGACGGGAACUGGUACACGGUCCAGACCAGUACGGGAGGCAGCAGUGGGGAAUAUUGCACAAAGGGCGCAAGCCUAAUGCAGCAAUGCCGCGUGUAUGAAGAAGGCUUUCGGGUUGUAAAGUACUUUCAGCGGGGAGGCGUUACCCGAAGAAGAAGGACCGGCUAACUCCGUGCCAGCCGCCGCGGUAAUUC